RNAcentral lists this long non-coding RNA (2037 nucleotides) under Homo sapiens (human). Its description in RNAcentral is "HSALNT0375247". Lineage: Eukaryota; Metazoa; Chordata; Mammalia; Primates; Hominidae. The record is from RNAcentral.
GUAACACUCACCGCGAGGGUCCGCGGCUUCAUUCUUGAAGUCAGUGAGACCAAGAACCCACCAAUUCCGGACACAGAAUUUCAUGGAGCCUGGAGCCCAGGAAAAGGGUGAAUCCAAUGCAGGCUGAUUUCUGGCUUACAUCACAGUCCAGUCUGAUUUUCUGCAGAUUACUUUCUACAAGACGAUUUGGGACCUCAGUUUACCACCUCCCAGCGGACCGACGGGUGCGGUGAGUGGAGAUGAUUUUGUGAGAGUUUUUAGGACAAUCCUGGAAGUGGGUUUGUCACUUCUGGCUGCACUCCAUUGGCCUGAAAGGAAUCACACGGCCCCACCCCAAUGCGGGAGGCUGGGAGUGUUCAGCGCCUGCAGAGAAGGUCAGGUGGGCUGGAAGCCCUGCGCCAGGCAUGGCCACGCCCUGGUGAAGGUGCUCGACAAAUGUGAACAUCUCCACCUAAGCCCCCCUUGGCACCACCACUGAGUCAGUCUGUGUUUUGGAUGUUUAAUUUUGGGGUUCAAUUUGCUGAUGGUGAAUUUGACAAUGAUGUUAUUGAUUAAUUCAUUUAAAGGGAGGAGAAUCACAAAUAUUGUGGCUAGUACAGAACAACCUCUUCCACCAAGCCAGUUGUGACUGUUGCGGAUGGAGAUGGACACCUAGUGAAUGAUUUAAUCCACCAACAAUUGUGGCACACAGGCAUCGUCUUCCCCACGCCAGGACUCAGAGGCUGAGCCCAGGGUGCUGAGAGGCUGAGCCCACAGCUCCGGGGUGAGGAAUGGAGCUCCCCGAGCGCGGCUUAUCUUUCAAGGGAGCUCACACUCUUUUACAACAACCCUCGAGAGGAGAGGACACGCAGAGGGACACCAGGGAAGAGGGUGGCGAGACAGUGGAAGCAGAGGCUGCAGCGAGGCAUGGACAUCUACAAGCCGAGGCACAGCUGGGAUGGCCGGCCACCGGGAGCUGAAGGGACAGGGAAGGAGCCCCCGGAGGAAGUGCUGCUGGCCCACACCUUGAUCUCGGACUUCCAGCCUCCAGAGCUGGGAGAGAAGAGAUUCCGUUGUGCAAACACCUGGUCUAUGGUGCUUCGUCCUCGCAGAUGCGGCAAGCGGGUCCAGCCAAGAAUAAAUGCGAGUUUGCAAUAGUUUCAAAGUAACCCCUUCCACAGACACAAAUUGUUCAUUAGUUAUAAAUAGAACAACAGUAACUUUACAGUGGAAAAAGCUGGCGGACAUCAUUUUAGCCACAUAAUCAAAGUUAACGUCAACAGUAAGGAGAAAAUCAACACCACGUGUCUUCUGACAACAACGCGCUGAUGGGAGCCCAACAUCAUUUACACCAUAAAUCAAAUGUUUAUCCGUUGGCGAUUCCAGCCAAAAAUAGAUAACCUGAUCCAAUCAUGAGGGAACUUCAGACAAACCCAAACUGAAGGACAUUCUACAGAAUAACUGGUCUGUACUCAUAACAAAGAAUCAAUGUCAUGAGGGACCAUGAAAGGCUGAGGAUGUCCCACAGGUUGAAAGUGACGAAAACAAACAAAAAACAACCAGCAACCAACUACGAUGCACAACCUUGGAUUGGAGCCUUCUCAAAAUUGCUGAAAAUAACAGUGGAACAAGUGGUGAAAUUUGAAUAUGGGCUAUAUGUUAGGUAUUCAUUUUAUGUCAAUGUUAAAUUUUCCGACAUUGAUAUUUGUACCAGGAAAUGUAAAAGAAGGCCCAAAUUUAGCGAUAAAUUAUGCCUGCCACUCACUCUCUCCAAUGAUUCAGAAGAUAGUACGGAUGAUGAACAGAUGACAGAGACAUGGUAGGUAGAUCAAUAGAUGGAUGGAUAGAUAGAAAAUAUGAAAUAAGAAACUCCUGGACACGAACCGUACAGACCAAGUUCAUCACUCCUGUGAGGGAGAACCUUGAAUUCCCAUAAGAAAAACUGAAUGUGCAGGAAGCGUAUCUCAUUCAGUUCACAAACCAUGAUGGGUUCUGUGUUCACCCUGGCUAACUAUCUACUUCUACCUCUCCUCUCCUCCUCUCCUCUCCUCUCCUCUC